UAAUACGGAGGAUCCAAGCGUUAUCCGGAUUUAUUGGGUUUAAAGGGUGCGUAGGCGGAUAAAUAAGUCAGUGGUGAAAGCCUGCAGCUUAACUGCAGAACUGCCAUUGAUACUGUUUAUCUUGAAUAUAGUUGAGGUGGGCGGAAUAUGACAUGUAGUGGUGAAAUACUUAGAUAUGUCAUAGAACACCGAUUGCGAAGGCAGCUCACUAAGCUAUGAUUGACGCUGAGGCACGAAAGCGUGGGUAGCAAACAGG
RNAcentral lists this ribosomal RNA (256 nucleotides) under uncultured bacterium. Its description in RNAcentral is "partial 16S ribosomal RNA". It matches the Rfam family "Bacterial small subunit ribosomal RNA", at positions 521 to 776 of the family's 1533-position model. The record is from RNAcentral.